UAAAUAAACAAUAACUCACUUCAAUAUAAAUAAAAAUCGUUCAAUACAUAAGCACAACAAGAUAUUUAAUCCACACUUUAAAUAUUAAUAUUCCCAUAAAUAAGAUUCAAGUGUUAGAAAAAAUACUACUAACUUAAAUACUCAAUACAAAGCAAGGAAAUGGAGAAAUGAACAUAAAUAGGUAAGAAAUUCUCAACCAAAAUCUUCAAAUCUUCAAGACCCAAGUGUGUGUAAAAGAACCCUAGCUCCAAAACUUGUGUUCUCUAGUCAAGAGAUGUCAAAUAUGUCCAGAUAUUGGCCAAAUAUCUUUUACAAAAUGGGCUAAGUCAUGUAUUUGUGGGUUUGGGAUAGAGAAAAUGUGAACUGUCAAUCUUGCCGAGGUCUGAAGACUGUUGACAACAACGGUGGAAGAAUCCUCGCAGGUGUGAUUCCGCAGAUGUGGAUACCUGCUUACAGAAGUGACGAUUGGUGAAAAAUACUAUUCUGCAAAAGCGGACCACGAGGCACAGAAGCGCACAGGCAGGUUCGGAUCCUUUGUGCAGAAGCAUCUCCGCAGACGCGGAUGACCAAUCGCACAUGCGAUCCCAGCGGAGAUUUGCCCAGUUUCGCAGAUGCGGCCUCCAAUUCGUAGACGCGAGCUCGCAGACGCGCACAAUGUUCUGCAGAUGCAGAAUCACUUAAGGAAUUUGCAUUUUUAACUCUUUUUUGCUCAAUUCCACUUCAAUUGAAUUCAACUCUCUUCAUGGCUUCAUUUACCUGAAAAUAUAGCAAUACACACCAUAAACAAUCUCAUAUUAUAAUUAAAGGAUAAAAAAUCUAAAGAAAAUGGACUAAAAUAAAUGGUAAAAUAACCACUCAUCACCUGCCUGUGUGCCUGUGGUUUGGAAGGUUUUUGUUUCCCUAUUAGCUACAACCUUAAGGGUUAAGUACUUAGAUUUCAAAGUUGUUUAGUUGGACUAGUAUAUAGAUUGUCACUUGUUAUUACGGUUGGUUUGGUACUCAAAUGGGUAAGCAAGGUAGUUGUUUGGGCCUAUUUGCUGGGCUAGUUUGGUAAUGAGAGCUAAAGCGCAUCAACUGCCAUCUAGAGUGUGGGCCUACUCAUCCACACAAGGUUCCAAGCUUAGUUGAAGGCCCAGUAGCACCCCUGGGUAUUCUGUAUUUAUGUUGGGCCUGUAGUGAUCCUAGUUAGGCCAGUGAUCACUCUAUUGAGCUUGUAAUUAUGCUAUUUGGGUCUGUAAUAACUGAAUGAUGGGAAAUUAAUGAAAAUGGGGUUGGGGGUGUUCUAAUGCUCGCAUGAACUGGUAGAAAACAUGCCUAUAGGGUUUAACUGCCUUGUUCGAUAUUUGUUUUUUGAUUCUACACACUAAUAGAAAUCAUGUCUAUAGGAAUCGCACACACUUCACUUAACUUGUCUAAUAAUGGUGCAUUAUUCAAAGUAUGUUAGCUCAAGUAAUUGCUACUCUUAUUUCCAUGUCUACCACUGAACGCUUUAGACAAUAUGUUUAUAGGAAUCAAAUGCCUUGCUUAACCAUUAAACAAUAUGCAUAUAGGAUACAAUAAUGCACGCCUUUGAUAAUACUCAUCUAGAUACCAUGACUAUAAGGGUUUAAAUAAUUAAUCAACUUUCUUCUGUUACUUUUAUAUAUUGCCUCACUUAGAGGACAUGCCUAUAGUGGUAAAGUGUUAUGAAUUCAAGUCUUAUUGUCAAUUGUUAGAAAUCCUGCCUAUAGGAUAUUGUCACUCUCAUAAGAAACCGUUUACGAAAUCAAUGUUGCUAAUUCUGGGUUCUCAAAGUUGUGUUACCGCCUCAUUUUGUGAACAAUUUAGAUAUCAUGCCUAUAGGGUUGUAAUACUUUUAAUCUACAACUCUGUUAGCCUAAAGUUGUAACGCUGCCUGUACACUGCUGGAAAUCAGAAUCAUCUAGAAGUUAUGCCUAUAGGACUUAACAGUUAUAAAUGUCUCUUAACUCUGAAACUGUCUACAGCCAAAAUCUGCUCGCGUGCAUUUCUUGCUUAUGUGUGGGAGGCGAACCUGAGCCAUUUGUUGCCUUUAUGUGAAGUCCUAUAUGUUUUGAAUGUGCGCCUAGUUUUAUCAUUUUGAUCAUCCUAAGUAAAGUCUAGAACCACCCAAUAGUAGGUCCAAAGAUGGGACGGAUAGUGCACGCAUAGGACGCGACCUAGCAUUGAAUUAGAGAGCCUUUAAGUAACAACUUUAAUAUAGUAAUCAGUUAGCACGAGCUGAUAGUCUGUGCCCACUGAAUAAUAUGAGCAACCCCUACCCUAAGGGAGUUGUGAAGCACGGGGUGAUCCUUUAGGCUAAAAAACUUAGGACAUCUUCCCUUUAUAUGCUUGUUGUUCAUACUUAGUCAUCAAAUAUAGACCAACGCAGUUGUGUCCGUAUAACCUCUAAGAUUUGUACUAGAUAUUUAUAUAGUUUAAUUCUUAAGCUAUUUUCUUUACAAUUGUUUAUAUAGAACCUUCAACUUCCACAUCUUUUUUCAUUUAUAUGAUCACUUAGCUUAAUUCAAUAAUCCACAUAGCGUAAACUUCGGCCGGGACCCACCGUUGUGGACCUCGAAGAGUGCCUAACACCUUCUCUUCGAGUUAAUUUGAGCCCUUACCUGUUCUUUGGUGAUGUAGACUACUCAAACAGAGUUAUUUGCAAAUAGUGCCCUAACGAACCUUAACGUUAGGUGGCGACUCUUCCAUUUUAGUACCCAUUUAAAAGAGUCGUCACACGUCGAAACCCACUUUCGCGAGAAAACGGGGCGCGACACACGUUAACCCAUAUCCUUAUACUGUAGCAUGCAAAUCACCAUCACAACACAAUAUUAACUCGCACCACAUGUGCCCUUAUACCAAAACUUACCAAAUUCACAAUACCAAAUGUUACCACAACAUAUAACCCACGGCUCAACCACAAUGUGUACAAGAAUCUCAAAUUAACAAAAUGAAUGAAACAUUCUCAACAAAUAAUAAUAUCUCAACAACCAACAACUUCAACCUCAAUGUGUUAAUAGCUUUUCACGACUUCAACCUCAAUAACUCAAAAUAAAGGUAUUUCCAAAAUGGUCAUUUCCAAUUCAAAUGUAUAGCAUAUGCUUAAAAUAGAAAGAAAUAGUGUGAAAUGGUAACUACAUCUAAAUGUAUGAUAACGACUCAACACAACAAGACAUCAUAUAAUAACAACUCCAAUAAGAAUAACAUGACAAUAAAAGAGGUAACAUGACAAUAAGAGAGGUAACAAUAUUAAUUAAGGCAUAUAAGAGCAAGUUUGACAACAAAAGAUAAAAUAUAUGUUAACAACGUCAAGUAAAGCAUAUAAGAGUAAUUUAACAAUGGAAGAUAUAAUAUGAUAUGACAAUGUCAAUUAAAUGCAUGAAAGAGCCUAAGAGUUUAGACCGGCCAAAAUACUACAUAUAAGCCCGUGUACAUACUCGUCACCUCGUGUACACGUCUUUCACAUAAUUCAAAUAACAUAAUUAACUCGUCUUCCAUAUAAUUCAAAUAACACAAUUAACCCAAAUCCUAAUGUGUAGUUUCCCCACACAAAGUUAGGCAAGAUACUUACCUUAACUAGGACAAAUCAACUCUCAAAAAUAGCUUUUUCCCUAAAACUCGCCUCUACGGGCUCAAAUCUAACCAAAAACGACUUAAUAACAUCAAAAAAUGCAAGAGAAACCAAUUACGAUUAAUAAAUGUAUGAUCUUUACACAAUUUUUCAAAAGUCAACAAAAGUCAAUCCUAGGUUUGUCCUGUCAAAACCUGGGUCCAAGGGUAGAUCCCUACCACCCAUAACCCCACGUGUACAUAUAUGUAUUUUGUUUUCAAAUCUGAGUCCAAAUCGACUCUCAAAACCCAAAUUUUUAUUUUUCAAAACUUUGAUAAAAAUCCCAAAAAUUCCUCUUUGUUUCUCAUAAAUUUGAUGUUAAAUAUAAUAUAUAAUCAUGAAAUAUAGUUUUAAAUUGAUUAGAAUCACUAACUAAAUGAUUGUAGAUUAAAAUCCCCUCUCCAAGUCGCCGCCUAGCGAGUCUAGGGUUCUAUAAUGAGAGAAAAUAAGAUAAAAUCCCGACUUCCAGCCGUUUUGUUCAGUUGCAGAUGUCGCAAUUGUGACUCUGGGUUCGUAAUUGUGAACCCUUGCAAUUGUGAAGAAAGUCUCGCAUUUGCGGCUGCUGACAAACCCAGGAGAUGUCGCAAUUGCAACAGAGACUUCGCAAAUGCGAAGUCUGCCCUCCUUGCAAAUGCGACCUAUUUAUCGCAAAUGCGAACUAACCCAUCGAAGCAUAAUCUUCGCAAAUGCGAACAAGGUAUCGCAAUUGCGAUAUUUGAGUCCCCCUUGUAAUGUUCUUAAUUGCAAAGCUGGUGCUCGCAAUUGCGACACUGUAGCACCAGCACACCAGCAACCUGUAUUUGAGUCCAAACCUUUCUGAAACACGUCUGAAACUCACCCGAGCCCUCGAAGUUCCAAACCAAACAUCCACACAAGUCUAAAAAUAUCAUGCGCACUUGCUCGCGUGAUAAAAACCCAAAAACAACAUCUAGAACUACGAAUCAGACAUCAAAGCACAGGAAUUUUAAAGAAAAGUUAAAGAACCUCUAGAAUUACAACCAAACGUCUGAAUCCUAUCAAACCAACUCCGAUUGACACAAAAUUUUGCGUACAAGUUCCAAAUAGCAAAACGGACCUAUUUCAAGUACCAAAACCAAAAUUUGAAGCUGAUAGCCAAAAAUUCAACCUAUGGUCAAACUUGGGAAAACUUAUAAGCCUCAAAUUGCCAACUUUCGGCAAAAUAAGUCAAAUCAACCUAGGGACAUCCAAAUUUAAUUCCAGGCAUACAUACAAGUACAAAAUCAUGAUACAAAUCUAUCGGAUCCAUCAAAAUACCAUUCCGAGAUCGUUUUCACAAAAUUCAAAUAUUGAUCAAUAUUUUCAACUUAGGCUUCUAAACCAAGAACCAAAGGGUCCAAAUCAAUCCAAAACCUUUCCGGAACGAAACUAACCAACCCCGCAAGUCAUAAAACCACUAAUACACAUGUGUGAAGAAUCAAAGGAGGAAGUGCGGUACAAAUACACAUAACGACUGGUCAGGUCAUCACAUUCUUCCCCUCUUAUGAGAAACGUUCAUCCUCGAACGUGCAUAGAGACAUAACUGAAGUGACGAAAAGGUGAGGAUAACAACUCCACACGUCAUGCUCGGUUUUCCAAAUCGCCUUCUCGACCGGAUGACCCCUCCAUCGAACCUUCAAUGAAGCAAUGUUCUUUGAUCUCAACUUCCGGACUUGCCUAUCCAAGAUAGCCACUGGCUCCUCAGCAUAAGCCAAAUCCUUGUCCAAUUGGACUGAGCUGAAAUCUAAUACAUGUGAUGGAUCACCAUAAGACUUCCGGAGCAUGGAAACAUGGAACACCGGGUGAACUGCUGACAAGCUAGGUGGCAAUGCAAGUCUGUAAGCCACCUCACCAACUCUCUUAAGGAUCUCAAAAGGACCAAUAUACUUAGGGCUCAACUUUCCCUUCUUCCUGAACCUCAUCACCCCUUCAUGGGUGAAACCGGAAGCAAAACCCUCUCUUCCACCAUAAAUGAUACAUCACGGGCCCUCCGAUCAACAUAACUCUUCUGUCUAGACUGUGCUGUACGAAGUCGAUCCUAAAUCAAUUUGCCUUUCUCCAAGGCAUCCCAAACCAAAUCAGUGCCCAACAACUUAACCUCACCCUGCUCAAACCAACCAACUGAAUAACGGCACCGCCUCCCAUAUAAGGCCUCACAAUGAGCCAUCUGAAUACUCGAUUAGUAAUUGUUGUUGUAGGAGAACUUUGCAAGCGGUAUAAACUGAUCCUAUGAACCCUCAAAAUCCAUAACAUAAGCACGUAGCAUAUCCUCCAAGAUCUGAAUGGUAUGCUCGGACUGCCCGUCCUUAUGGGGAUGAAAUGUUAUACUCAACUUGACCCGCGUGCCCAACUCACGCUGCACAGCUCUCCAGAAAUACGAUGUAAAUAGAGUGCCUCGAUCGGAGAUUGUGGAUACCGGCACACCAUGGAGACGAACAAUCUCGUGGAUAUAGAUCUGAGCCAGCUUCUCUGAAGAAUAGGUAGUCACCACUAGAAUAAAAUGUGCCGAAUUGAUCAGCCUAUCAACAAUAACCCACAUUGCGUCAAAAUUCUUCAAAGUCCGUGGGAGCCCAACAAUGAAAUCCAUGAUAAUACGCUCCAGCUUCUACUCGGGAAUCUCAAGUCUCUAAAGCAAAUUGCCAAGCCUCUGAUGCUCGUACUUUACCUGCUGACAGUUCAAGAACAAGCUACAUACCCCACUAUAUCUUUCUUCAUUCUUCUCUACCAAUAGUGUUGCCUCAAAUCCCGAUACAUUUUCAUAGCACCCGGAUGUAUGGAAUACUGCAAACAGUGGGCUUCCUCAAGGAUAAACUCACACAACCCAUCUACAUUGGGUACACAUAUCCAGACCUGCAUCCACAACACCCCAUUAUUACCGAUAAAAACCUCCUUGGCAUCGCCGUGAUAUACCGUAUCCUUAAGGACAAGAAAAUGGGGGUCAUCUUACUAACGCGCCCUGAUGCACUCAUAUAAAUAGGAUCGAGAAACCACGCAAGCAAGAACUCAUCUAGGCUCCGAAACGUCUAAUCUCACAAACUGAUUAACAAGGCCUUAACAUCUAUGGCUAGUGGCGUCUCUGUUGCCGGUGAAUAUGCCAAACUGCCCAUACACUCCACCUUCCUACUCAAUGCAUUGGCCACUACAUUGGCCUUCCCGGAAUAAUAUAGUAUGGUGAUAUCAUAGUCUUUAAGCAACUCUAACCAUCUCCGUUGCUGCAAAUUAAGGUCCUUCUUGAACAGAUGCCGGAGACUCCGAUGGUUGGUAUAGACGUCACAUGGAAUGCCAUACAGAUAGUGACUCCAAAUCUUCAAUGCGUGAACAAUGGUUGCUAGAUCUAAGUCAUGCACAUGAUAAUUCUUCUCAUGAACCUUCAACUGCCGGGAUGCGUAGUCAAUCACCCUACUGUCUUGCAUCAACACCGCACCAAGCCCAAUACGCGAUGCAUCACAAUACAUAGUGUAAGACCCCAAACCUGUAGACAACACCAACACUGGGGAUGUAGUCAAUACAGUCUUGAGCUUUUGAAAGCUCGCCUUACACUCCUUAGACCAUCUGAAAGGAAUACCCUUCUAGGUCAAUCGAGCCAAAGCAGCAGCAAUGGACGAGAAACCCUCUACAAAAUGUCGAUAAUACCCGACCAAACCAAGAAAACUCUGAAUCUCAGUAGCAGAAGACGGUCUAGGAAAACUUUGAACUUCCUCAAUCUUCUUUGGAUCUAUCUUAAUCCCCUCACUAGAUACCACGUGACCCAAAAACACCACCAAAUCAAGCUAAAACUCACACUUUGAGAAAUUUUGCAUAUAACUUCUUAUCCCUCAAGGUUUGGAGCACGAUCCUCAAAUGCUACUCAUGAUACUCAGAGAUGCAGGAAUAUACCAAGAUGUCAUCAUUGAAUACGAUGGAGAAUGAAUCAAGAUAUGACUGGAAUACACUGUUUAUCAUGUGCAUAAAUGCUACUGGGGUGUUGGUAAACAGCUGCCUAUAAUCGAUACACUAGAAACUCAUAGUGGCUAUAUCGAGUCCUGAAAGCAAUCUUCAGAAUGUCUGAAUCCCGAAUCUUCAACUGAUGAUAUCUUAACCUCAAAUCAAUCUUCGAUAACACUCCAGCACCUUGAAGCUAGUCAAACAACUCAUCAAUGUGCAGUAGUGGGUACCUGUUCUUGACUGUAACUUUCUCCAGCCACUUAUAAUCGAUACACAUCCUCAUAGUACCAUCCUUCUUCUUCACAAACAAAUGGAGCACCAUAAGGCGAGACACUUGGUCGGACGAAAUCCUUAUCAAGAAACUCUUCUAGUUGCUUCUUUAACUCUUCAACUCCACCGGUGCCAUACGAUAUGGUGGAAUAGAAAGGGGAUGAGUGCACGGCACUAGGUCAAUACCAAAAUCGAUAUUCCUAUUGGGCGGCAUGCCCCAAAUGUCUGUUGGAAAUACAUCUAAAAAAUCUCACUACUAGAACUGACUUAACGGUAAACAUAUCAGCACUAACGUCUCUCACAAAGGCUAUAUAUGCCUCAAACCCCUUCUCAACCAUUCAUCGUGCCUUAAGAAAGGACACAACCCCGCCAGAUAUAAUCCAAUGUACCCCUCCACUCCAACAAUGGGAAACUUGGCAUAGCCAAUGCCACGGUCUUGGCGUGACAGUCCAAAAUAGCAUGAUAGGGAGACAACCAGUCCAUACCCAAGAUCGCAUCAAAGUCUACCAUAUUGAGUAGAAAUAGAUCAACUCUGGUCUCAUAACCACCAAUGGCACCUAGACUCUAAGACUAGGUAAGCCUGACAUUCAUUGAUAGCUUAACAGAAAUAACAAACCAAGAUAACAAAAUAAACCUAUAAAGCUCAUAAUAACUCCAAAACAGAAAAUCAGUAACAAAAUCCCCAAAACAGGUGGAACCGAGUCAUAAGCUUUAGAGAAUGUACUAAAACCUCUAAUACAACAUUGUCCGAUAAUAGGAUGAACAAUAGUAAAGUAAUAACAGAAGGUGACUCUGAGGCCUACGAGCGUCGAGAAGGUAUACCUUGAAGUAUCCAGAUAUAAUUGUACGAUCACUAGUGUCCGACACGAGCAGAUGUACCUAGAUCUGCACAAAAAUAUGCAGAAAUGUAACAUGAGUACACCACAACGGUACCUAGUAAGUAUCAAGCCUAACCUCGAUAGAGUAGUGAUGAGGCCAGGUCAAGACACCUACUAGCAUAAGAAAACUGAACAGAGCAUAGUAUAGUCUAAUAAUGGAAAGUGAGGAAAUAAAUGAAAAUAAAGCAGUACAAUAAUGUAGGCUAAUGACGAAAUUUAAGGCGGUAAAAGCAACAAGAAGUGAACACAUGAGGAGAACAACAAGUGAUCAAAUACGGACAAAUACAAGUAAGACAAUGAAGAAAACAACGAGAAUUGUCCAACCAACAAGCCUUUUUAACAUGCAAUAUACAACAAGAAUCACAACCGAUGUAUCAUACCUCAUAACCUCAUUUCACAAAUCACAAUCACAACCUUUUCUUAUAUUGCCGCGUGAACCUUACAUUUAGAUAUUUUUGAAAAUAUUUUCACGAAAUAGCUACACGCGCUUUAGCCCUCUUAUGUCGCCAUGUGGCUUCAAGUAAUUCCCUUACUAGCAACACGCAUAUAAAUCUCACUUUAUAUCGCUGCAUGCACAUUAACCCUAUCCUUAUUCACAAUAUCACAACACAACACAAUAUCAACUCGUACCACAUGUUCCCAUAUACCACAACUUACCAAAUUCACAAUACCAAAUGUUACCACAACAUAUAGCUCAUGGCUGAACCACAAUGUCUACAAGAAUCUCAAAUUAACAAAAUGAAUGAGAAAUAGUCAACAAGGAAACUUAUUUUAACAACCAACAACUUCAACCUCAAUGUGUUAAUAGCUUUUCACGACUUCAACCUCAAUAACUCAAAAUGUUUCCACGAAAUGACAAUUUCCAAUUCAAAUACAUAGCAUAAGCUUAACAAUGAAAGAGAUAAUAUGAAAUGGUAACUACAUCUAAAUGCAUGAGAAUGACUCAACGCAACAAGACAUCAUGUAAUAACAACACCAAUAAGAAUAACUCGAUAAUAAAAGAGAUAACAUGACAAUAAGAGAGGUAACAAUAUCAAUUAAGAAAUAUAAGAGCAUGUUUGACAACAAAAGAUAAAACAUGUGUUAACAACAUCAAGUAAAGCAUAUAAGAGUAAUUUAACAAUGGAAGAUAUAAUAUGAUAUGACAAUAUCAAUUAAAUGCAUGAAAGAUCCUAAGAGUUUAGACCUGUCAAAAUACCACAUAUAAUCCCGUGUACACACUCAUCACCUCGUGUACACGUCUUUCAUAUAAUUCAAAUAACACAAUUAACCCAAAUCUAAAGGGGUAGUUCCCCCCACAAAGUUAGGCAAGAUAUUUUCCUUUACUAGGAUAAAUCAACCCUCAAAAUAGCUUUUCCCCUAAAAUUUACGUCUGCACGACUCAAAUAUAACAAAAAUGAUUUAAUAAUAUUAAACAAUGCAAGAGAAACCAAUUACGAUUAAUAAAGCUAUGAUCUUUACACAAUUCCCCAAAAGUCAACCCCGAGCCCACCUAGUCAAAACCCGGGUCCAAGGGUAGAUCCCUACCACCCAUAACCCCACGAGUACAUACAUGUAUUUUGUUUUCAAAUCCGAGUCCAAAUCGACUCUCAAAACCCAAAUGUUUUAUUUUUCAAAACUUUGGUAAAAAUCCCCAAAAAUCCUCUUUGCUUCUCAUAAAUUUGAUGUUAAAUCAAAUAUAUAAUCAUGAAAUAUAGUUUCAAAUUGAUUAGAAUCACUAACUAAAUGAUUGUAGAUUAAAAUCCCCUCUCCAAGUCGCCUCCUAGCGAGUCUAGGGUUCUAAAAUGAGAGAAAAUGAGAUAAAAUCCUGACUUCCAGCCGUUUUGUUCAGUUGCAGAUGUCGUAAUUGUGACUCUGGGUUCGUAAUUAUGAACCCUCACAAUUGCGAAGAAAGUCUUGCAUUUGCGGCUGCUGACAAACCCAGGAGAUGUCGCAAUUGCAACACAGACUUCGCAUUUGCGAAGUCUGCCCUCCUUGCAAAUGCGACCUAUUUAUCGCAAAUGCGAACCAGGUAUCAUAAUUUCGAUAUCUGAAUCCCCCCGUCAUGUUCGCAGUUGCAAAUCUGUAUUUGAGUCCAAACCUUUUCAAAAUAUGUCUGAAACUCAACCGAGCCCUCGAGGCUCCAAACCAAACAUCCACACAAGUCUAAAAAUAUCAUACAUCAAAAUGCAUGAAUUUCAAAGAAAAGUUCAAGAACCUCUAGAAUUGGAACCAAGCAUCUGAAUCCUAUCAAACCAACUCCGAUUAACACCAAAGUUUGCAGACAAUUUCCAAAUAGCAAAACAGACUUAUUCUAAGUCGCAAAAUCAAAUUUCAAAACCAAUAACUAAAAAGUUAGCCUACGGUCAAACUUGGGAAAACUUCUAAGCCUCAAAUUGUCAACUUUCGGCAAAAUAAGUCAAAUCAACCUAGGGAGAUCCGAAUUCGAUUUCGGAUAUACGCACAAGUCCAAAAUCACGAUACGAACCUAUCAGAGCCAUCAAAACACCGUUAUGGGUCUUUUUUCAAAAGUCAAACACUGGUUAACAUUUUUAACUCAGGCUUCUAAACCAAGAACCAAAGGGUCCAAAUGAACCCAAAAUCUUCCCGAAAUGAAACUAACCAACCCCGCAAGUCAUAAAACCACAAAUGCACAUGUGUGAAGUAUAACAAGGGGAAGCGGACCGUAGAUAGACAUAACGACUGGCCGGGUCGCCACUGUUCCUCAAAAGCGGAGGGUCAGCUUUUGGAGGAAGCUGCAGAUGCGGCCACUGUUCCACAGAAGCAGGACCGCAGGUCCGGUUAAGUGAGCCGGAGGUACGAGAAUCACUGGGUAGAUGUUAAAACAAGGGUUUUGGCCAUUCUUCUCAUUUUGGAUUUGUGAAACUCGGUCUAAGGUGAUUUUUGGGAGACUUUUUACUACAAUUGAAGAGGUAAGUUAAGUUUAAUCACUUUGAUGUUAGAUAUUGAUUACUCAUUGAUUAUUACACUUAGUUUAUGUGAAUUAGAAGUGAAAUUGGGAAUUUUAGACUAUGUUGUUGGAGAGUGAUAUUUGAUGGUUUGAGGGUCAAUUUGUCGAUGGAAUUGGAUGAAAUUAGUUUGGUUGGUCUUGAAUUGAAUGGGUAUUCGGAAUUUGUGAAUCUUGUCGGGUUCUGGGGUGCGGGCCUGGGGUUGACUUUUUGGGUUGACAUUGCAUAUUUGAUUCAAGUCGUUAACUUUAUCAUUUGAAAUUAUUUUUUAUGGCUAUUAUUAAUGGUAUUAAGUUAUUUUGGCUAGAUUUGAGCCGUCUGGAGGUUGAUACACGCGGGAAGGGCUUGUUAGAGGAGUGAUUCGGCUUGCUUGAGGUAAGUAUCUUACCUAAACUAGGUUGAGGCACUGGUUGCCUGAGUUAUUUGUGAUAGCUACAUGCUAUGUGUGGCGUAUAUGUAUGGGGUUGAGCCCAUACUCGGGCUAGUGCUUAGGCUAUGAUAUGCCUUGAAUUGAUUGCUAAGCUUCAUGUUGUGAUGUUUCUCCUAUUUGUACCCAUAUGUGAGCUAUUUAUAACCACAUUAGAGAUUACGUUAAGGUUAUUCUCUCAAGUGAACCUGAUAAACUGCUAUAUCAUGAUGAAAUUGUCUGUUCUAGGUGUGAUAGCACACAUUGCACAUGCCUACACCAUAGCAUGUUAUUUAUACCAAUCUAGGAGUAUGAAACUCGAUAAUCAUUGAUCUUGUACAUGUAUUAUUGUAUAUUUGCUUUUUGUGUGUUAUGAUUUGGACUGGUAGUCUGUGAUCAAGCCGGGCGAAUUGUGAUUAUUGGCACAUGAGUUGUCCGUGCGAUUGGUAUUAUCAGCACAUUAGUUGUUCAUGCAGCACAUGAGUUAUCUAUGCGGAUCCAGAUAUUGAUAUUAUUGGCACAUGAGUUAUCCAUGCAGCAUGGGAGUUGUCCUUGCAGUUGAUAUUAUUAGCACGUGAGUUAUCCGUACAACAUGUUGAUAUAGAUCCAUCCCCCUAGGGUCACCCUCUCAUGUGCCUUCUUGAUGGUGUACAUGCGGAUUUGAAGAAAUUGAUAAGUGGUUUGGUACGGAUAUGGAAAUAUUGAGGAAAAUCUUGCCAGUGUUAUCUUUGGAUUUUGCAUUUCAUCUUUACUUACAAUUUGCGUGGUUAAUUACCUGACUUAUUUUCAUAUCCUCUUUAUAUGUUGUAUCAAUGACUGAGCAGAGAACUUGAGUAAUUGUGCACACACAUAUGGUUCUUUCUGUGCUUUAUGACUUGAUCAAUUAUUUUUUUGUACUUGUUGAAUUGAUGAAACUGUAUAGGUUAUAGCAAGUAUCAUUUAUAAUUCUUGCUUCUUUUACCUUGCCGAGGUUAGUUAUGAUACUUGUUGAGUGUCACACCUCUUUUUUUCCGAAGAAUAGGGGAGUUUUUCCAAUUAAAGUGACAUUAUUCGAAAUGAGAUUAUUUAUUUAAUUAGAGUUGCUACUUGAAAUAUUUAUUAUGGUGUCCCAAGUCACCGGUUUAUUAUAAAAUCCUAAAUCGAAGACAUUGACUCUAUUUAUGCUCCGCAAACACAGAAGACCGAGUAAGGAAUUAUGUUAACCCGGAAGAAGGUGUGAGGAACUCUCGAGUUCCGUGGUUUUAGCACUGUCGCUUAACAAUUAAUACUUGGCUUAAUUAUCUGAAUUAUUACAUAUCUAAAAGCAUAUUGUGCAUUUUAUCUUUUACUGCUUUUAAUUAAAUUGUAACCGCUUUUAUUUUUAGCCAUUUUUAGUAUUUAUGGAAUUUAUUUGAACAAGUCACGAUGUCGCGCACUUGUUAUUUUUGUACACAUUGCAAAUCACGUCACGUGAAACGUACCCGCAAUUUAUAACAUAUUUAUUUUAUUAUUAUUUUAAGUUGGAGUCAAGUCACGUAAACGCGCACUUGAAUUGGGAUUUACAUAUCAUGACCAUGCCACGUGAACCGUACCCAUAGUCACGAUGAUUUAUUAAUUAAUCGCGCCUAAAGCAACUAGCGCAUUUGAAUUAUUUUUUCUACUUCUAGAUUAUUGUGAAGGACAUAGGUUAUGGAAUAGUUGUGGGAAAAUAUAGUAUUUAACAUUUUUUACUAAAUAAAAAAAAUGGAUUAACUUAUAUCUAAACCCAGAUUCCUUCUAAUGCACACCAUUAGUAAAAUAACAAUUAAACUCCACAAGCUCACUAAACACAUUAGAUUAUUUAAACAACUCUCAAACUCAAUGUAGCAAACUAGGCACACUCGGAAGUCUAUAAUUGAGUUUCACCCCAAUAAAUAAACACUCUUAUAUAAAGAUAUAAUCUAACUUGUGCCUCUCUAGUAAUAUUGAUCCACUUGUUUCCAUUAAGCAAAUAAAUAAUUCGUGGCACACACGGAAGAGUAAAAAUCAGAUUUUUGGCUCAAAGAGCGAAUUCUUGAGGGAACGCCUCAACCAUAAACUAAUAGAUCAGAACAUAAAACCAACAAAAUUAUCACCUAAGCAAUACAUGGUUAAUUUAAGCAAAUAUGCAGCAGGAUAUUUCAAGCAAUAAUCUUUAUCUAAUCAAAAUAAAUAAAUAAAUUCGAACCAGCAUCUAAAGAAAAAUCGACGCACAGAUAGAUCAAUAACAGAGAAUGAAGAUAAGAGAUUGGACCUCUAUUGAUUUCUUUGCAAUUUGAGAAAAAGGACAAAACAAACUCUGACACGUGAAACCAAACUUCAACGCCGAGACCGAUGGGAAAGCGGCAUCCAGGACACAAACAGAGUACUCGAACAGAAACUCGCCAUUGACUGGAAACCUUGAACCCAGCAAAACAUCACUGUUUUAGGUGGGGAAAAAAAAGACUAUUCUGAGGUAUUUUUAUGGCUAAUUUGGUGUAUUUUUCUGGAUUUUCUUUGCGUUAUUUGGGCCGAGGUGAGGACAUUUUUUAAACUGUUUUUGCUGGAUUUGAGGGCUAUUUUCGGAGCUGAUUUUCGGGACUGUUUCAGCUGAAUUUUGGGGCUGGAUUUCACUGGUUUUACUGAGUUUUGGGGACUGUUUUGAUCAUGUUUUGGGGGUGUUUUUCAGCAGUGUUUUGGCUGUAUUUUGGCUGGAAUUUUGGACUGUUGUUUAGGCUGUUUCGAGGUGAUUUAGAGGCUGGUUUAUCGAAAGUUUUCAGCUCAUUUUUGGAGCUUUACUCGGCUGGUUUCAAUGGAGUUUUAGGGGGUUGCUUUUGGGGUGUUCAUGGCUGAAAAAGAAGAGGAUGUAUGGGGGUUUUGGGUGGUGUUUUAGUGGCUUUAUGACUAAUUUACAGGGUGGUUUAGGGGGCUUUUUGAGCUAAUUUUCACAUUGGGAAGAAAAGUUCGUGAGCUGCCGCUAUAGUGAAGAAGAAGUCGUGGAUUUUCAUUGCUGCUAUGAGGAAGGGAAAAAUCCCUCUUUUCUUUCCAAUCCCCCGUUUCUCUCUCGUUUUUCAGCGAUUUUCCCCAACCCCCUUUUUGUUUGUGCUCUGUUUUUCCCUAAAUGUGUGAUGAGUGUGUAGAUAUAUAGCUGAGUGAGGGUGUGAAUAUAGUGCCAAAAAUAUGAGCAGGUGAGUGGAUAUUACUUGGGAGGAAUCUUUCUCUCUUUCCAAUGCACUCCAAAGAAAAAAUAUGUUAUGUGAGAGAACGUGAGGCACGAAAAUGAAAUUGGCAAUGCCAGGGAAUCUUUUGCAACUUGGCCAUUUCUGAUUGGUACUUUUUAUUUUUUUAUUUUAAAAUUCUUU
Molecule: long non-coding RNA, 15371 nt
Filed under: Nicotiana tabacum (common tobacco)
Lineage: Eukaryota; Viridiplantae; Streptophyta; Magnoliopsida; Solanales; Solanaceae
Description: long non-coding RNA (NTAB_LNC018199)
Source: RNAcentral